CCACACCAACUUGCAAAGCCACCAACAGUGCAUAAGGGUUCCCUUGUCUCCACAUUCUCGCCAACACUUGUCAAUUCUUGUCUUUUUAAAGAAUAGCCAUUCUGACAGAAUGUAAGUUCCACGAGCGCAGAGCUGUCUUGGGUCGUUUUCCCUGGUUCCAGGUCCUCCGUGCCUGCAGGAGCUCACGGCGACACAGACCGGCAAAGCUAUAGCACAGAUGAGGUAUUUUUGCCUAAAAAGAGAAGCCACUUGGAGUUCAGAGGGAUUGCGCACGUGCUGCGGACCACGCUGUUCGUCAGAUCUGGGAUAUUAUGCUGCUCUGACUAAAAAUGUGAGGCAGAUUGUGUUCCCUCGCACAGGUGAAGAGGAGGAACGAACGCAGCGACGUGUGUGUGCAGUUGGAAUGGAAAGAGGUGAUGCACAGCCCGUGUCCCGCCUAGCACGUGCUUUAUGUCCUGGGGGAACCUGGCACAGCUGUGCCUGGCGUGCACACCUGCACGGUCGGGACUCACAGUUUUCUCUGUCCCCAGUGGUCCACUGAGCGCCCCUUCGAGAACGCUCUCUCUCGGUGCCCGCUGCAUUCACUGUCUCUAAGGGAGGAGAGGCCUCUUGACUCCAAAGAGUAAACAUGAUGAAUUCCGUGAGUCCCCGGGUGCUGUCCUACACCUCAGGCCAUCACGUCGCUCUCGGCGGCUGCAGAAGCCGAGCAGUUCAAGUCUCUGUCGCGUCUUCUUGGCUCCAUGGGUCACACUCGUACUGUCCUAAUGAUUUUAGAGUCCUGCGGCCUGGCUGGCUGGCCGUGACCUCGGUGGAGUUCAGAGCCAUGCGCAGCCUCCUUUCCCUAGCGUAUACGCAGUGGGUAACAGUGAGAGGUGAGCCUCCUUCCCGGGGCAGGAGUCAGACUGCAAGGAACAGCCCAUUAAAAUGA
Molecule: long non-coding RNA, 928 nt
Organism: Molossus molossus (Pallas's mastiff bat)
Lineage: Eukaryota; Metazoa; Chordata; Mammalia; Chiroptera; Molossidae
Exons: 5
Source: RefSeq, a predicted model, not a curated record